This 451-nucleotide ribosomal RNA is filed under the name Scaphiophryne calcarata (Mocquard's rain frog). Its description in RNAcentral is "partial small subunit ribosomal RNA". It matches the Rfam family "Bacterial small subunit ribosomal RNA", at positions 883 to 1533 of the family's 1533-position model. Lineage: Eukaryota; Metazoa; Chordata; Amphibia; Anura; Microhylidae. The record is from RNAcentral.
CGAGCCCAAGCUUAAAACCCAAAGGACUUGACGGUGUCCCACCCACCUAGAGGAGCCUGUUCUAUAAUCGAUUCUCCCCGAUAAACCUCACCACUUCUAGCCAACUCAGCCUGUAUACCUCCGUCGUAAGCUUACCAUAUGAACGCUAAUUAGUGAGCUUAAAGAUCUUUACAUCAACACGUCAGGUCAAGGUGCAGCUCACGAAGUGGGAAGUAAUGGGCUACAAUUUCUAACUUAGAACACACGAAAGACUACAUGAAACACAGUCAUGAAGGCGGAUUUAGCAGUAAAAAGAAAAUAGAGAGUUCUUUUUAAUUAGGCGCUGGGACGCGUACACACCGCCCGUCACCCUCUUCAAACGCCCACAAACGUUAAUUAACACCUAACCGCACCAUAGAAGAGGUAAGUCGUAACACGGUAAGCGUACUGGAAAGUGCGCUUGGACUAACAA